This 429-nucleotide ribosomal RNA is filed under the name Acidobacteriota bacterium. RNAcentral describes it as "Acidobacteria bacterium partial 16S ribosomal RNA". It matches the Rfam family "Bacterial small subunit ribosomal RNA", at positions 355 to 776 of the family's 1533-position model. Lineage: Bacteria; Pseudomonadati; Acidobacteriota. The record is from RNAcentral.
UGGGGAAUUUUGGACAAUGGGGGAAACCCUGAUCCAGCCAUCCCGCGUGUGCGAUGAAGGCCUUCGGGUUGUAAAGCACUUUUGUCAGGAAAGAAACGUCAUGGGUUAAUACCCCGUGAAACUGACGGUACCUGCAGAAUAAGCACCGGCUAACUACGUGCCAGCAGCCGCGGUAAUACGUAGGGUGCAAGCGUUAAUCGGAAUUACUGGGCGUAAAGCGGGCGCAGGCGGUUCGGAAAGAAAGAUGUGAAAUCCCAGAGCUCAACUUUGGAACUGCAUUUUUAACUACCGGGCUAGAGUGUGUCAGAGGGAGGUGGAAUUCCGCGUGUAACAGUGAAAUGCGUAGAUAUGCGGAGGAACACCGAUGGCGAGGGCAGCCUCCUGGGAUAACACUGACGCUCAUGAACGAAAGCGUGGGGGGCAAACAGG